This 400-nucleotide ribosomal RNA is filed under the name phytoplankton environmental sample. RNAcentral describes it as "partial small subunit ribosomal RNA". It matches the Rfam family "Eukaryotic small subunit ribosomal RNA", at positions 587 to 983 of the family's 1831-position model. The record is from RNAcentral.
AGCUCCAGUAGCGUAUAUUAAAGUUGUUGCAGUUAAAAAGCUCGUAGUUGGAUUUCUGGUACGCUGCGCCUGGCCCGCCUGCGUUAGCGGUGUGAGUGUCGGUGCGCGGUUGCCAUCCUUCUAGAGAACGUGUCUACCUUUAAUUAGGCCGGAUACGCAAUCUAGAUCAUUUACUUUGAAAAAAUUAGAGUGUUUAAAGCAGGCUUUUGCUAUGAAUACAUUAGCAUGGAAUAAUAAUAUAGGACUUUGGUUCUAUUUUGUUGGUUUCUAGGACUAAAGUAAUGAUUGAUAGGGAUAGUUGGGGGUGCUAGUAUUCAGCGGCCAGAGGUGAAAUUCUUGGAUUCGCUGAAGACUAACUUAUGCGAAAGCAUUCACCAAGGAUGUCUUCUUUAAUCAAGAA